This 200-nucleotide ribosomal RNA is filed under the name uncultured bacterium. RNAcentral's name for it is "partial 16S ribosomal RNA". It matches the Rfam family "Bacterial small subunit ribosomal RNA", at positions 8 to 218 of the family's 1533-position model. The record is from RNAcentral.
AGAGUUUGAUCCUGGCUCAGGAUUAACGCUGGCGGCGUGCCUAACACAUGCAAGUCGAACGAGGUAGCAAUACCUAGUGGCAGACGGGUGAGUAACGCGUGGUCAACCUACCAUCGAGCGGGGGAUAACUAGCCGAAAGGCUAGCUAAUACCGCAUAACACCAUAGCCGGCAUCGGCAGUGGUUGAAAGCAGCAAUGCAC